AUGGUGCUGCUACAAGGGGCUGCCUCGCCGUUGCUCCUCCUCCUGCUGUUCGCCACGGCGGCCGCGGCGGCGCCCAUGGAGCUCUACUUCUCGCAGGCGGAGCUGGCGCGCAUUGCCGGGUACGGCGAGGAGCCGGUCUCGACGGUGCUGGUGUCCGGGCAGGUCGCGUGCCAGCUCUGCCUCCGGCCAGGCUCUGACCUUCUCACCUUCGACCUGCCAGCAGGUAGUAAGGUGGCAGUAACCUGCACAACUGAAGGUUGGAACACCAUGGCUAACUCUGCAUUUGCAACAACAAACGAGUACGGCAUUUUCUCUAUAGAGCUCCCGUCCCGGCUCCACGCUACACCAAGCCUGGAGAAUGCAUGCUCAGUCAAGGUGCUGGAGCUUCCGCCGGACUCCGCGUGCCGUGUCGGCGGCAGUCACGUGUCCUCUCACGGCCUCCGGCUAUCUUCAUCGGACGGCAGCGUCCGGACCUACACAGCAGGGGUCAUACGGCUGCAGCACGACGGCACACCAGCCAAUAAGUGCGUGCAGGAAGAGGACACGAGUGAUAGGAGAUGA
RNAcentral lists this ribosomal RNA (561 nucleotides) under Triticum aestivum (bread wheat). Its description in RNAcentral is "partial small subunit ribosomal RNA". Lineage: Eukaryota; Viridiplantae; Streptophyta; Magnoliopsida; Poales; Poaceae. The record is from RNAcentral.